AGAUCGAUGGCGAGAGAGCAAUCUCAAAGAAAGAUUUCUUCUUUCAUUUUAGACCAAGCACAAUUUUGGGAAACAUUUCAUUUUAAGAAUCGCGAUGCUUGCACGAGGAAGACUUUCUCUCCCUGAAAAAUCUCCCAGAGAGAGUGAGAGAGAGCGUGAGCAUGCCUUGGAAUGCAACCUGAUACCACGGACACUUCCACACAUGUGAGUCCACAGACGAGUCCAGAUAUGGGAAUGCUCCAUAAUAUCUUCAAAACAUUCCUUUAGGACUUAAUUUAUCACCUGUCAUCCUCCGUCGCUUACAAAAACAUCAUUUGUCAUCCCCGGAGAUCAAAGGUUGAGGGCCGGACUUCACGCACGCCGGUUUUCGCAUAUGGAAAUUAUUAUGAUGUCAAAGGUCGCAUAUGGAUAUAAUUAUGGGUCAAAAGGUCAAAGUCAUCAAUCAUGUUGACAUAAGCUCC
This is a long non-coding RNA of Sinocyclocheilus grahami, 461 nucleotides long. RefSeq lists it as uncharacterized. The transcript is spliced from 3 exons. Lineage: Eukaryota; Metazoa; Chordata; Actinopteri; Cypriniformes; Cyprinidae. The record is from RefSeq and is a predicted model, not a curated record.